Molecule: long non-coding RNA, 1266 nt
Filed under: Chrysolophus pictus (golden pheasant)
Lineage: Eukaryota; Metazoa; Chordata; Aves; Galliformes; Phasianidae
Description: lncRNA (ENSCPIG00010013677.1)
Source: RNAcentral
CAGCUGGAGGCUGGAUGGAGUUCUGUUCUUUGCACUACUCACUGAGCGCCUCCCAAGCGACACUGCAAAAAAAACCCACACGUUUGGAUAAUGAUAAAUUUGCAUGCCCGGAUAACCUUACAUUUGAGAAUAUUAAUUACUGCAUGAGUUUGUGCUGCCCUGGAGUAUUCACAGCUGGGUGUUCUCUCAGCCUGGAGAAUCUUAGAAGUGGGUGAAAAUCAUCACAGAAGUCUGUUGAAAAAAGGCAGGGAAAAAAAAAAAAACAGAAAGAAAAGCAGGCCUCCCAAAGGCUGUGGUGGAACCCAGCAUUAGCAAAUGCUUCUAGGAAGUUUGACCGAGAGCCAUAUGGCAAUGUGGGGAGUAUUAUCCAUUGCUCCAAAAGUUGGUCUCUGAAUCAGCCUAUUGACUUCAGCAGCACUUAAUCAUGUGCUUCAGUUCUUCUUUGAAAAGGGUUGCAUUCCUGAAUCAUGUCCUCUGAUUUUAACCACUAGACGGUACUUUGUUUUGUGGUAGCAGACAAGUCCAGUCAUAUUUCUGUGACUAAGUUUGCGAGUUCUGACUGCACUCCCAGUGAAGUACGCUGAUGAAUAUUCUUCCUCUUAUCAAAUUUGAAACAUUUGCCACUGUUCUUGAAUUUUAGGCUCAAACCAUCCGGUGUCUUCCUGCAGUGCAGCUGGUGGGGCAGCACAGGACAGUGUGAUUUCAUAUGCCUGCCUGUAGAGCGGUGUGAUGUAAAUAAACAUGGGUGAAACCAGUGAUCUCCAAAUAUUGCCCUGAAUUCUGCUUUCAGAAGCCCUGAAUGUUGGUGGUGGUGAUUGAAUCCAUACAUUAAGGCAAGAACCAGUUGUGCUGGUCCGAGUUGAGUUGUGUUUGGAUGCUGGAGUACGUCCUGGAUGCUCACACACUGCUGUGCUGCGUCAGGGAUGAGCUGGACUGGUUUGGGGCUGCUCUGCUGUGCUGCAGGAAAGGAAAAGGGGGAGAUGAGAGCUCUGCAGGCUGCUCUUGCUGCUCUCCUUUUGCUGCGGUGACGUUGUUUGGUAAACAGCCCCAUCCCGAGGUGGGACCCUGGGGAGCUGUGGCUGCUCCAACCCCUCUCCCUGGGUAUUCACAGGACUCCGAGGACGAGCAAGCAAGCAUUUUGUCUGCACUUGUGUUUUGUCUCCACUUGCAACCAGUUUCUAACUGCAACACUCCUUGCAAGGAUGCACUGAGUUCAUGGCUUUGCGUUCUCUAGACAGGCUGUAUUGUAGUCUGUAUCAAGAAGGC